This 68-nucleotide transfer RNA is filed under the name Bos taurus (domestic cattle). It matches the Rfam family "tRNA". Rfam says of the family: Transfer RNA (tRNA) molecules are approximately 80 nucleotides in length. Their secondary structure includes four short double-helical elements and three loops (D, anti-codon, and T loops). The record is from Rfam by way of RNAcentral. Lineage: Eukaryota; Metazoa; Chordata; Mammalia; Artiodactyla; Bovidae. RNAcentral also lists the same sequence under 1 other name.
CCUGUGGCUCAGAUGGUAGAGAAUCUGCCUGCAAUGCAGGCGACCCGGGUUCGAACCCUGGGUCAGGA